Paramuricea clavata is the source of this 266-nucleotide non-coding RNA. Lineage: Eukaryota; Metazoa; Cnidaria; Anthozoa; Malacalcyonacea; Plexauridae. The record is from the annotation of a GenBank genome assembly.
AAACCCACCAACUGAGGAUUUAUUGAGCAGGAAAAAAUAAUGAACAGAAUUUAUCUGUACAAAAUUCCUAUUGUGAUCACAGAAACCUUGAUAAUGUUAACCAGUCCUAAUUAAAUUGGCAACAUUUAUGACUAGAAACACAAAAAAUAGAUACGCAUAACGUAAAUUGAUCUGCGCCAAAUACUUUUGUAGUUGCUUAUGUCUUUGUAAUUUGUGACUGUAGUUGUUGAAGCCAAUGGGGAAGAACGAUAUAAAAGUUGAGCUGC